AACGAACGCUGGCGGCGUGCUUAAUACAUGCAAGUCGAACGUUAGAUGUAGCAAUACAUCGAAAGUGGCGAACGGGUGAGUAACACGUAAGUAAUCUGCCUCUAAGAUCGGGAUAACCCUGCCAACGCGGGGCUAAUACCGGAUGUGGUCCAGUGAAUGCAUGUUUACUGGAUUAAAGGAGUGAUCCGCUUAGAGAUGAACUUGCGGCCCAUUAGCUAGUUGGCGGGGUAACGGCCCACCAAGGCAACGAUGGGUAGCCGGCCUGAGAGGGUGUACGGCCACAUUGGGACUGAGAUACGGCCCAGACUCCUACGGGAGGCAG
RNAcentral lists this ribosomal RNA (322 nucleotides) under uncultured Fibrobacterota bacterium. Its description in RNAcentral is "bacterial SSU rRNA". It matches the Rfam family "Bacterial small subunit ribosomal RNA", at positions 29 to 351 of the family's 1533-position model. Lineage: Bacteria; Pseudomonadati; Fibrobacterota. The record is from RNAcentral.